GCGAGCGUUAAUCGGAAUUACUGGGCGUAAAGCGCAUGCAGGUGGUUUGUUAAGUCAGAUGUGAAAGCCCCGGGGCUCAACCUCGGAAUUGCAUUUGAAACUGGCAGACUAGAGUACUGUAGAGGGGGUAGAAUUUCAGGUGUAGCGGUGAAAUGCGUAGAGAUCUGAAGGAAUACCGGUGGCGAAGGCGGCCCCCUGGACAGAUACUGACACUCAGAUGCGAAAGCGUGGGGAGCAAACAGGAUUAGACUACCCUGGUAG
Molecule: ribosomal RNA, 261 nt
Filed under: uncultured bacterium
Lineage: Bacteria
Description: partial 16S ribosomal RNA
Rfam family: Bacterial small subunit ribosomal RNA
Source: RNAcentral